UGGGGAAUUUUGGACAAUGGGCGCAAGCCUGAUCCAGCAAUGCCGCGUGAGUGAAGAAGGCCUUCGGGUUGUAAAGCUCUUUUGUCAGGGAAGAAACGGCUGAGGUUAAUACCUUCGGCUAAUGACGGUACCUGAAGAAUAAGCACCGGCUAACUACGUGCCAGCAGCCGCGGUAAUACGUAGGGUGCAAGCGUUAAUCGGAAUUACUGGGCGUAAAGCGUGCGCAGGCGGUUUUGUAAGUCUGACGUGAAAUCCCCGGGCUCAACCUGGGAAUUGCGUUGGAGACUGCAAGGCUGGAGUCUGGCAGAGGGGGGUAGAAUUCCACGUGUAGCAGUGAAAUGCGUAGAGAUGUGGAGGAACACCGAUGGCGAAGGCAGCCCCCUGGGUCAAGACUGACGCUCAUGCACGAAAGCGUGGGGAGCAAACAGGAUUAGAUACCCUGGUAGUCCACGCCCUAAACGAUGUCUACUAGUUGUCGGGUCUUAAUUGACUUGGUAACGCAGCUAACGCGUGAAGUAGA
RNAcentral lists this ribosomal RNA (520 nucleotides) under uncultured Janthinobacterium sp. Its description in RNAcentral is "bacterial SSU rRNA". It matches the Rfam family "Bacterial small subunit ribosomal RNA", at positions 355 to 868 of the family's 1533-position model. The record is from RNAcentral. Lineage: Bacteria; Pseudomonadati; Pseudomonadota; Betaproteobacteria; Burkholderiales; Oxalobacteraceae.